Non-coding RNA from Ciona savignyi (Pacific transparent sea squirt), 73 nucleotides. Lineage: Eukaryota; Metazoa; Chordata; Ascidiacea; Phlebobranchia; Cionidae. The record is from Rfam.
ACCUCGAUGGGGCAGUAGGCCGCGCGUGAGUCUCGUAAUCUCCAGGUCGUGAGUUCGAUCCUCACUCGGGGCA